Molecule: unclassified non-coding RNA, 315 nt
Filed under: uncultured fungus
Lineage: Eukaryota; Fungi
Also listed under: 2 other names
Description: sequence contains ITS1
Rfam family: 5.8S ribosomal RNA (bases 1-105)
Source: RNAcentral
GAAAUGCGAUAAGUAAUGUGAAUUGCAGAAUUCAGUGAAUCAUCGAAUCUUUGAACGCACAUUGCGCCCAUUAGUAUUCUAGUGGGCAUGCCUGUUCGAGCGUCAUUUCAACCCUUAAGCCUAGCUUAGUGUUGGGAGACUGCCUAAUACGCAGCUCCUCAAAACCAGUGGCGGAGUCUGUUCGUGCUCUGAGCGUAGUAAUUUUUUAUCUCGCUUCUGCAAGCCGGCCAGACGACAGCCAUAAACCGCACCCUCUCGGGGGGCACUUUUUUAAUGGUUGACCUCGGAUCAGGUAGGAAUACCCGCUGAACUUAA